Long non-coding RNA from Erigeron canadensis, 380 nucleotides. RefSeq lists it as uncharacterized. The transcript is spliced from 2 exons. The record is from RefSeq and is a predicted model, not a curated record. Lineage: Eukaryota; Viridiplantae; Streptophyta; Magnoliopsida; Asterales; Asteraceae.
UCUCAAAUCAAAUUCUUGGAAAGGAGAAAUCAAAGGGAAAUUAAUAAGGGUUUAAUUAUUUGGUGGAUUUCAAGGAAUCACCAUCAUCUUCUUCAUCUUUUCUUCAAGAAUAUCAAAUUUUGGUAACCAACAGUAAGUCUUGGAUCAUCUUGGCAUUAUAAGGCCAUUCAUUCGACUUUGGAUGUAUAAUUAGCGUCAGACAUUGGAGGACUAUUAUGUUCUUAGUUCUAAUUGUACUAGACGGUCCAAAUAUUUAUCUUGUAUUAAGUGGGCCCAAUUCCAUAUAUGGAUGACUUGUAUCCGUAUUCUGGGGUCCACAUUUGAACGAUUGUACUUGUAUUAGACUUGUAUUUGGUAUUAAAUGGAUGUAAUUUCUAUUA